Molecule: ribosomal RNA, 814 nt
Filed under: Corynebacterium sp.
Lineage: Bacteria; Bacillati; Actinomycetota; Actinomycetes; Mycobacteriales; Corynebacteriaceae
Description: bacterial SSU rRNA
Rfam family: Bacterial small subunit ribosomal RNA
Source: RNAcentral
UGCAGUCGAACGGAAAGGCCCCGCUUGCGGGGUACUCGAGUGGCGAACGGGUGAGUAACACGUGGGUGAUCUGCCCUGCACUUCGGGAUAAGCCUGGGAAACUGGGUCUAAUACCGGAUAGGACCCCUCUUUAGUGUGGGGGGUGGAAAGUUUUUUCGGUGUGGGAUGAGCCCGCGGCCUAUCAGCUUGUUGGUGGGGUAAUGGCCUACCAAGGCGUCGACGGGUAGCCGGCCUGAGAGGGUGGACGGCCACAUUGGGACUGAGAUACGGCCCAGACUCCUACGGGAGGCAGCAGUGGGGAAUAUUGCACAAUGGGCGGAAGCCUGAUGCAGCGACGCCGCGUGGGGGAUGACGGCCUUCGGGUUGUAAACCUCUUUCGCUAGGGACGAAGCUUUUGUGACGGUACCUAGAUAAGAAGCACCGGCUAACUACGUGCCAGCAGCCGCGGUAAUACGUAGGGUGCGAGCGUUGUCCGGAAUUACUGGGCGUAAAGAGCUCGUAGGUGGUUUGUCGCGUCGUCUGUGAAAUUCCGGGGCUUAACUUCGGGCGUGCAGGCGAUACGGGCAAUACUUGAGUGCUGUAGGGGAGACUGGAAUUCCUGGUGUAGCGGUGGAAUGCGCAGAUAUCAGGAGGAACACCGAUGGCGAAGGCAGGUCUCUGGGCAGUAACUGACGCUGAGGAGCGAAAGCAUGGGUAGCGAACAGGAUUAGAUACCCUGGUAGUCCAUGCCGUAAACGGUGGGCGCUAGGUGUAGGGGUCUUCCACGACUUCUGUGCCGUAGCUAACGCAUUAAGCGCCCCGCCUGGGGAGUACG